This 460-nucleotide ribosomal RNA is filed under the name uncultured bacterium. RNAcentral's name for it is "partial 16S ribosomal RNA". It matches the Rfam family "Bacterial small subunit ribosomal RNA", at positions 338 to 795 of the family's 1533-position model. The record is from RNAcentral.
CCUACGGGCGUCAGCAGUGAGGAAUAUUGGUCAAUGGACGAGAGUCUGAACCAGCCAAGUAGCGUGAAGGAUGACUGCCCUAUGGGUUGUAAACUUCUUUUAUAAAGGAAUAAAACGAGGCACGUGUGCCUUUUUGCAUGUACUUUAUGAAUAAGGAUCGGCUAACUCCGUGCCAGCAGCCGCGGUAAUACGGAGGAUCCGAGCGUUAUCCGGAUUUAUUGGGUUUAAAGGGAGCGUAGAUGGGUUGUUAAGUCAGUUGUGAAAGUUUGCGGCUCAACCGUAAAAUUGCAAUUGAUACUGGCAGUCUUGAGUACAGUUGAGGUAGGCGGAAUUCGUGGUGUAGCGGUGAAAGGCUUAGAUAUCACGAAGAACCCCGAUUGCGAAGGCAGCUUACUAAACUGUGACUGACAUUGAUGCUCGAAAGUGUGGGUAUCAAACAGGAUUAGAUACCCCAGUAGUC